UGCGGAGUUUAUGUAAGCAAACCCUCCGCGGCUCUUGCCAGGAGCUGAGCAGAGGGGAGCUGGGGAGCACCAGCCCGUGCCCGGCUCCCGCUGGGAUGGAUGGGGCUCAGCGCUGGCUCCGGUCGGACUCGUUCUGCACUCCCUCCCUCCGCUCCCACAGCCUCAAGCAAAGCCUCUUCUCUCCUGCCCACCGCCAUCGGCUACGAGGCUGCAGCAAGGCCCCGUUUCCAACAUGUCACAUGAAAUGAACCAGGAAAACUCCUCACAAAACCUUCUGAUCACUGGCUUCCAGAGGAAAAGUCCCUCCUGGCCAGAAGGAGAGGAGGACAAGUGAGACAGUGAAAAGUGACAUUCUCUGUGGACCUGCUCCAAAGCCUGAUCGCGUCGAUGAAAGGACUCCCAUUGAAUUCAGUGUGACUUGGAGUGGUUCCUAAAAAUGGGAACAAAGCAGCAAACUUCAUAAAUCUUCUGAUGUGGUCCUUAAAGUGAGAAUUAAGACCCCAUGGGGCAAAGGUUUGUGAUUAGAAAGACAAUUUGGCCUCUCAGUCUUCCUGAGCUGAGCCAUUCAGGUCUCACUGAAGAUUCAUUCUUUUAGAAAUAUCAUAUGCCAGUCAGCACGGGGGAUCGCUGGUCUGUUAAAUGCUACAUUAUGCCUUUUACUUUUCAUUAUGGUAGGAGAUUUGAUUAAGGCAGUCAAUGACCCUGUGCUUAGAAGCAGAAGAGGGGAAAAAAGAAGGGAAAAAGCUAAUGGAGCCAUAGAGCUAAAAUAUGUUGCUGAGAAGUGAAACAAUUGAAGGUGUGGAGGAGAGAGGAAUUAUCACAGCACUGUUGGCACUGAAGUGGUGUUGGGAGGCUUUUACCUGCCAUAAAGCAUAUGCUGGCACUAUUUCAUCCUCCACCUUGGCCGUAAUGCAGACCCUGUUUGUGUAGGAGGCUUUCCCAGCAUGCCCACACUCCAGAAUCCCAGGCAAUGCUCACCAGCAACUGCUGCUCCCAGCAGCCCAGUGCCUGGUUAUGGCUACACCCCUCCCAGAGAGGUUUUAAAGGUGCUUUAGAAAAUAAAAACAGUUGUACUUCUAUCUCCCUUUGUGCCAUUGACAGAAAACCACUUUUAUUUCCUUUCCUCCUCUCCCUUUAGACCUCCUGCAUGUUCCCCAAAACUUGGUGCUUCACUUGUUGUGUCGGAGCCCAUUGGGAAGGAAGGACUGCUCUCUGCACGACUCUCUGUCACAACUCUUUCAGCAUUUUGACUCAAGGCACUUUGGCUUUAUCUCUCCCUGGGUGCACUGGAGGUGCCUGUCUCCUGAGGCUCAUGACGUGAACCUUCGUGCUGACGUGUGGAGCCUCUUCUCCAAGCUUCUCUGUAUAAGUCAUUCAACGUUUUAAUUUGAUUAGGAGGUUAAUUUGCAUGGUGCUGUGCGUAUUCUUUUACUGGAAUAUAUAUACUAUGAAAUGUAUGAUGUAAGUUAAUCCAAAGCUAAAGAGGCCAAUAAAAGCCAGUUCCUUAAGGAGGAAGAAAAGAGAGCAGAGCUCAAUGGAAGAAAAGCUUGGUCUCAGUCCAGAGUCCUGACUCAUUGUUAGCCUCCAGAGCGUCCUGACUAGCAUCAACGUGUCCUGGAAGCAAUGUGAUUUUCCUACUGUAUUAAUGAAAAAAUAAUAAAAUGUAAUGCUAAAACAAUAGGACAUACCAGAAAAAUUUCCACCGAGGAAUGGGGCUCUGUAAUAAGCUCAUGUCAGAAUGAUUCCCAUCCUGCUUGCAGAAUCUGAGCAUAUGGAGGAGUGACACGACUUUGUGCAGGCUGUGGAGAGUGGAGCAGCUCCUAUAGGUGUGUAGAGUGUUUCUUCAGUCUACACCAAGUGCUUCAGAAAGCUGGGAAACAGAAUAUGAAAUAUAUUUGUAUUAAUGGGAGCCACCCAGUCAAGAGAGAGCACUAGGAAUGUGCUGUAUAGCUGCAGAAAAGUAUUAAGAACUCAUGAAAAUCUGAAAAAUGCCUCAAUGGCUUUCUACCCGUGUGUCUCUAUAACUAUAAUCUCAAAAAUAUAUAUAAUUUGUAAGUGAUGGCAUCCUGGAAGCUUGACUAGUGUGAGCUCACAGUUAUCUUUUGCUUGAUCCUGUGAAAUAAAUUAUAAGCAGCAAAUCCCAACUGCAGAUAAAUUCUUCUCCAUCUGUUUUCCUACAAGAGAAAAAAAUGUAGAACUGCUUUCAUGCAACAAUUGCACAAGCAAGUCAUAAGCUUAGAGACCAAGGAGAAGAAAGCUAGAAUGCUUUCUGGUUUAAUGCCAAAGAUUUUUAAGAUAAAAAUUCUCUGAAAGUAACUACAAUAAGCCAAUGACUGUUGAGCUUAAACAAACCUCAAGUUACAUUCAAUUUCACUUAAAUAUUCCUUAGGAGAAAAAGAAAACAUAAAUGCACAAAUCAAAAUUUUUAUGUCUUAAUUGUCAUCUUUUUCCCACAAUGCGUUUUAAACUGAAAUGAGGUCAUUUGGGUUUUAGUAACCAGUCCAAGUACAGUGCAAAAUAUAUUUCAAGGUAGAACAAGAGUUCACAUCCCAAAAACAAAGGAGUUAGCAAAAAUAUGAAACUGCAUGAGACUGAAUGCACUCAAUGCCUAGGGAAGUAUAGUUUUACCUGUCAGAAACAAAAGAGUUGGUCUGCAUCCAUUCCAUAGACAUAAAAUAAACUCAGCAAGGGCUGCACAACAGCUAAAGCCUGAGAAAAUACCAGCUAAACUUAGCAGAAUAGUUCCUAAAUCAGAGUUUUUCAGGGUUUUUUUCCAAGAACAUUUUGCUACAUUUAAAAAUAAAGCAGGUACAAUCCUGUGUGAACCAAUAAUAUGCACAGUAAAAGUGACAAAAGAUGCUUAUACAAUUAUAAUUACAACUUGCAGGCCACUUAAAUGCCUUGCAUGGACAGUCCAUAAAGAGAAUAUGACCAAGCACUAUGAAUGAGAGCCUGAAUAAACAGUAAAGAUGUAGAAGUAAAGCUAAUGAAAAAUAAACAUUCUUGUUAGGAAGAGAGAAUGACAGUAAGAAUUAAAGUGAUCCAGAGUUUCAGGAAUACAAGUGAGUGAACACGUACUGAAGACUUGGUGUACGAGUAUCAGGAAAGGAUCUAGAAAAACAAAAAAAUUAAAUGUUUGGUAGUUACAUCUGUCUCUCUUUAAUCACAGCAUGCUUGUUUAGGACUUAGGCAGUGGAGGUUUUUUUUCCACUUUCAUAUUUGUUGUGUUUUUUCCAGUCUCUAUAAAAUUUCUAUUAGAAGAGCUCUGACCCUACUCGAAAUCCAAACCCCCAAAAUGCAUGAAGGGAAAGAAUCCAAAUGUCAAAUGUAACUAUGAGCAGUUACUCAAUCCAUCCAAACAAAAGCAAUCAAGCCACAUCCUUCUCUUUCCUCCCUGGAGACUCACACACAUCUAAUAAUAACCCACCACGGGCACUUUGAGGAAAGGGAAGUGAGGAGGAGCUGUGAGUUUUGACCCCAUUCUAAAAAACAAAUUGUCUCCAGGCAUUUUGGUGAAAGUGCAUCAGCUGGUGACACCCCAGUGUAAAAGUUUAUGUGAAUAAUCUGAAUUACACCCAGAGAUCAGGUGGAGUACACAGUGCCACUUGCAACGUGUAUGAGCAAUUCGGGAGGCUCUAACAACCCUGCUCUCCAACCUCUGAAGUGUUCCUGCUGUUCUGCAGGAGCAUCUCCUGCAUGAUUUCACAUCAAGUUGUGUUGGAAAAGCCAUGACAAAGUGGGAUGAGUUUUUCUCCCGAUGAGACAGUCCGUUCAUGAUUCAUGGGCACUGGGUCUCUGCUGUCCAUGUUCUCCCCAGGAGCAAGGGAUGGUAACAGCACCCAUUGAAUUCUCCUGCACGGUAAAUGUGUUUUGGCAGGAUGUAUUUAGGUGACAGUUUUGGGGAACACACUUGCUUUUCUGCUGACAACCUUGCACCAAAGGCACUGGCAAGAUUAGUUGGUGUGUAGUAGCCACAGAGGGAGGAGCCAUGCACUGUCUGGGGACUCAGUCUGGCAAACUUUGUGGAGGUGAUUAACUCCCAUGAGCUGACCAGGGCUGCUCUUAUGGGUGAAGUUAAAUAUGUGCCUGCUUGCAGGGUGAGGGGCUUUAUGUAUUUAUCCUGUGUCCUUGAAAAUCUAUUUUUCAUGUGUAAGCACUUGGUUAAUGUGGCUUAUUCCUCUGCUUGCUUCCCCGAAUGGGAAUUCAUUAUGAAUCUACCUGAAAUGGUCUUCUGCAGUUGUGUUGCUUUCAGUUUGUAAGAAAGUUGUUCCUGCCUGUACAGCCAGGAACAACUUUUGUUCAUUUUCCUUUGUUGGAGGCUGACAGCACACUGGCUGCACUUUCAUGUGAUCAUUCCUGGAAUUACUUCGUGCUUGGACAAAUGUGUAGGUGUUCUGUGCAGCUUCUCUAAAUAGUGAGUGAAAACAGUACUUCAAGAAUAAAGGAAUAUACCGCAA
Molecule: long non-coding RNA, 4457 nt
Organism: Motacilla alba alba
Lineage: Eukaryota; Metazoa; Chordata; Aves; Passeriformes; Motacillidae
Exons: 3
Source: RefSeq, a predicted model, not a curated record